GGGUAGAGCUCAGUGGUAGAGUGCCUGCAUGACGUGCAGGAGGUCCUGGGUUCAAUCCUCAGUAUCUCCA
This 70-nucleotide transfer RNA is filed under the name Camelus bactrianus (Bactrian camel). It matches the Rfam family "tRNA". From Rfam's summary of the family: Transfer RNA (tRNA) molecules are approximately 80 nucleotides in length. Their secondary structure includes four short double-helical elements and three loops (D, anti-codon, and T loops). RNAcentral also lists the same sequence under 2 other names. Lineage: Eukaryota; Metazoa; Chordata; Mammalia; Artiodactyla; Camelidae. The record is from Rfam by way of RNAcentral.